CCCCCCCCCCCAAUUGCCAAUGACCGGGCGGGCCGGGGGACGGCGGGUGAGUGUGCGGGGCUGGGGGCGGAGGAGGGGGGGGUUGGCCGCGGCUCGCCUCCGCGCCGCCCCCGCCCCGCCGCAAUGUCAGCGGGUGGAGAGGGGGCCCCGCGUUACCUGGUCAGCGCGGAGCCGCAGGCCGGCUAGUCAGGUGAGUCGUCGGGGAUUUUAAAGAAGCCGAAGCCGGUUUCUUUGCUAGGAAAGUCUACAACACCAUGCAGGGACAUUGCAAAAUCUUUACGCACGCCUCCUUUCCCCGGGCUCCCCCGACCUCCGCCGGAGAGGGGGGAGCCGCCGGCGGGCGCAGGCCGCGGCCCCGGCCCCGGCGGCGGCCCCGGGCCUCCCUGCCGCCUUGGUAGCGCCGGUCCGCACUCGGCCUGACCCGGGACGUCACGCCGCCUGUCUGUUUUCUCAAUGAUAACUUGGCAGCGGCAGGGGGAAGCGGCCGGGUUAUGUAUUUUAUUUUAUUUUUUCUCCCCUGGGCUCGGUACCGGAUACGUGCGCGUUUCUCUGCAUGCGUUUUUAAGCGAAACGAAGGGGGGAAAAAAAGCCGAAACAGGAAAUCCGGCGCGCGGCGGGGGCUGCCGGCCGCGAUGGUGGCGGGCGCGGGGGAGCAGGCAUGCGUUCAUCUUUUUGUCUUUCAUUUUACCUUCAGGUUGACGCUGGGCGCCGGGCGAGCCGCGUUGGUCACCGCCGGGUCCCACCUGGAGGAGGGAAGCACACGCAAAAGGGGGGAAAAAAAAAAAAAAAAAAAAAGGAAAAAAAAUCACGGAAACGGGCGGGGGGGGGGAAGGGGGGUGCCACCCGGAUGCGGCGGAUGGGACAGCACAGCGCGCGCAGAGCAGGGCCCCGCCAUGUCCCUGCACGGAACGGGACUGAGGGAAAAGGCACCCCGUGUCGUGAGGGAGCGCAGGGGACGUGGGGAACGCAGGCCCAUGAGGGCUGCUCAUGGGCCACGACGCUGUUGUGUGGAGGCUGGCAGAUGCUGAGCCGGGCUGGGUGGUGGGUGACCAGCAUGUGGUAACGAGGCCUGCCGCCACCAGGUCAACCUGUGUGACUGGGGGUUGUUGUGAGCAGGGGUAGGGGGUGGCACUAGGCUUGGUUUGCUUUCCUUGGUGUUUGUGCUCCUAAAAGGAAGGAAGACCAUAGAAUCGCUGAGAUUGGAAAAGACCACUAAGAUCAUCUAGACCAACCAUCAACCCAUCACCACCAUGCCCGCUAAUCCAUGUCCCUCAGUGUAAGUAUACACGGGGGCAGGAACCUUUUAGUUGUGUGCACUUCUUUCUGCACAAAGUUAUUUCCAGUGCUAGGCCUCACUUUCAGGUAUGGCACGGACCGCUGUGCCCUUUCAGCCAAAGAUAGGUCAUUGCACGCAUACACUUUUAAUAUCCCAAACUGCCAACUCACCACAGCAUCUACACACUGACCAAAGCGUGCAGUAAGGCCCAGUGUCAAGUGGCCCCAUCCCACAUUGCAUUUUCUACUGCCUAUUCUGACAACAGCUCGCCAUGUAUGUGUAGCUAGUCAGUUCACAGAGCAGCUGAAAAGCUGAAGCAGCACAGGGCUGAAACUAAAUUAUUGUUGCAGCUUCAAUAUUAGCAUUAACGCUUUCAUUUUCCUCAUUUAAAUACAACAAAAGAGAAGAUUGUCCUUGCUUAAUAUUGUUACUAAUCAGGUUUGGCUCUUCCAGUUUUUUAAGAAGAUGAAGCCAUGGAGAAUCUAGCAUGUACUUUUGCUGCUGCCAGAUUCGGUACUCUGAAACGGUGCCUCAUUUUAAGUGGAAAAAGUCUUUGCUCUUUAACCUGGGGGGAAAAGUCAGUCCACAGAAUACAGUGAAGUCCAAGCACCAUUUUAAGGAGAAUGAAAUCGAAAAAGUACUUUUUAUUUUUAACACAAGCUACUCAAGGUGCUUUCUGUCCUGUCUAUAAGACAAAUUUGCAUAGUGUUUCUGUUUCAGAAUUGUUUUGAGCAGCAUUUAGGCUAUUUAUUUGUCUUAGGUAUACUGUCUCAGCAGAGCUCUGGAGAGCACAGGGUGCGUUACUGAUACAUUGGUCUUGGUAGACUUAAAAGGCACUUUGUGUAGCUUGAUUGUUGUCUGUAUUUUGCCAUUUAUUUUUCAGUGAGGCUCUUCUCAUUGAUGUGGGGAGUUUCUUUAAAGAGAUGUAAGUUAUGGCAUAGCUACCCAAGAUGCUCUGCACAGUUGUUCCAUACCUCUCCUAAGAGGGAGAUUUUAGUUGCGAUUGUUAUGCUUUUAAAAGGGAAUUAGUUAAUCAAAUUGCUGGUUUUGGAAUGCAUUGAAAGGAAUAUUGAAAUGCAUUAAGUUCAUUAAAAGAAGUGAGCAGAUAGGCAACAAAACAAGUAUUAGUCAAAUAAGCAUGAACUUGCCUAUGGAGCCAAAUUCAGCCCUAGUGAAAUCAACACAGUUGUGCUUGUCUACAGCAUAUUUAAUUUGGCCUAUGCAGCCGCAGAGCCAACACUUCAUUUAGCUGUCAAAGGUGUGUAUAUUAAAAACAUAUGAGCCAUGCAUCUCCUUCAUGUGAUUAACCUCUGAAGUUAAAUGCCCAGUUUUCUACUUAGUUCAGCUGCACAGUCCUAUCACAUAUGCAAAAUUUGGUGCGUGUAUACACUGAGGUGCAGGGAGGCAUUCCCAUCCCAGCAUUAGCACAGGGACGUGAGCUGUGUCUAAAGGGAGGGCACGAUGAGGUGUGUUGCAGCAGAUGUUGCUCAUGACCAGAAGGGCUCCUGUAUGUAGGCCCCAGCUAAUGGGCUGCACUGAGGUCUUUGCCACCAUCUUUCAUUACUGCUGUUACUCACACUAGCGAGAGUAAAGGAAAGACUGGUAUGUGUAUAAUCACUCGUUCAUUUGCCAUGUAGAUAUAUCUUAAGAGCCUCUCAAGCCAGGAAAAUUGUGCUGGAAUUAGGUAGUGGAUGGAUGUAAAACAGAACUGUGUGCAGGUGGCUUGUUCAUUCUGGAACGACAGAGCUUCUUCCUGGUUUCAUUUAAUCCACUUUUAAAGUGGAUUAAGAGAAUUCAAAAAAGUGAGCUCUUAGGCUGGCAUGAUAUUUGUCUACAUAUGGUUUUGGUUAGGAGUAAUUACUGCAAUGUAGCUAAUAAGUGUUUUGGAAUAAUUUUGUGCGUAGACAAGUCCAAAAUCGCACACCUGCAAACAACACACUGUACGUAGUCUUUCUGUAUAACGUAAGGUUAAUUUAGCCCAACAUUUGACCUACUUCUUUCAUUGUGAGGCAUAUUUAAUUCAUUACAGGUUUUUCUUUCUUAGCAGAAACUGUACAGCAGCCAUGUGCUUAUGAUCAAUUCAAGGACAGUGCUUCCAUGUGCACUCCUCAAGAUAAAUAAACAAUUUACACAACAUAUACUCUGAGUACAUUCUCAGCUGUGUUGGAGCAGACACUUGGCUCUCUACUGCAGAAAAUAUCAGGUUUUGAAUUGUAAAUAUUUUGAGUAGAUUCUUAACAAAAGGAAAACAAAAGCCAAAGGUCUAUGUUCUCUUGAACACCCGUGAUCUGCUUGUCCUUUGACUAUGUAGUGCUCAAAGCAGUAGUGUCUGCAUGAAACACCCGUUAUAAUUCAGCAGCACUAGUUCCUACAUGAGGAACCUCUCAGAUUAGCACAGGAUGGCUUGCAAAACAAUGGGGUUUCCAGGAGUUACCUUAGGAACAGGGAGCUAGUUUUACAUCUGCUUACAGAGACCUGAAUCAAGAAAAGCCUACUGCAGUUACUCUGCUCUGAAUAGACGUAGGAGGGCUCAGAAUCAGCUGUGUUGUAUCACUACAGGUUCAUAGGAAAGUUACUGGAAUGAUAAUGAGAAAGGAAUUUUUUUUGUUUGCUUGUUUUAUUUUUCAGCUUUGUGCCAAGUGGAAAGAUCUUCAAACAUUAUUGUCUCAUUCUGUGCCACACACCUCCCUGCAAAGAGAGGUAACUCUGACCUGAAUUAAGACUCCUAAGCUUUAAACUCAAAAAAAGGGGGGAAGAAAAACAAACAAACAAACAAACAAAAAGAUGUAAGCUCAGAUAGUAAAACAAAUAAAUUUUGAAGGGAAACAUAAAUAUAAAAGCUAGAUGGUACAAACUGCUGAACCUUUAAACACUGACAUGGUAACAGCCAAUGAAAGCUAUGAAGAUAUAAAGAAAAAAACCCUACUUUUUGUGAAAGGCAGAGGUACCGAAGGAUCUUCCUGCGUGCAGAUGAAGUCACCUUGCUAUCCAUGUAUCAGUGCUGCAAACACAGUUCUCAUUCUUGGCUGAAGGAUACAGGGAAUGGAUUUCACGUAUGUCUCCUUCAUGCUAAGCCUGCUUAUUUAAGUACAAAGCUUUCUGAUAAAAAAGUGAGCAUUGGAUGAAGAAGAUAAAAACACAGAUAAACGUGAUAAAAAAAACAAGCUCUUGAAUCCUGUUGUGGUGUAAUGUUGGCCAUGGGCCUAGUCUUGAUAGUAAGGCUGAAAGAAGACUGAAAUCGGAGGCAAGGAGGGCUUGGGGACCAUGCAGGAGCAUGUCUAAAAUCAUUAUCAUGUCAACAGCUGGAUUAGACUGCUUUACACUGCUGCCACUAGGAGCUCUCCAAAAGCAGGAGCCACCUGCAGUGAGAGGGUGUCCAGGAUCUGCCCUGCUCCUGCUGGGACAGGGGACUGUUGAUCCAGCAAAGAACAGGUCUGUGAAAUGGAGAGGUCUUGGGGACAACAACACAACAGAAACAAGAGGAAACCUCAGCACAUGGCUAGCGCAGAGAAAUGAAGGAUCCUCUCUGGGAAUUGGUUAGUAGCGCUGAUGUUUAAUAUUUGUCAUAACAACCACUGACUGUUUUGUUUUUUGUUCUAACAAUGUGAAUUAUGCAUUAAACAUUAAUACAAGCGAGUGUACUUUUCUUUUGAUCUUCAAGCAUAAUCAUUUCUAAUGAGAGUUUAUACACAAGCAUUGAAACAAAUCCCUGAGUCAUGUGAAUUUACAUUGGUUUUACUCUGUGUGAAAGAUAUCCCACAUGGGUUACUCAUGUCUGUUAAACAACAUACUUACAAAUCAGAAAGAAAAAAAAAAAGAACUUGCAUUUGGCUUAACGUAAGUAUCAGUGUAGACGUUUGGUUCACACACUAGCAAUAGCGCAAUAUUGAAGAGUGAAUUUACUAGAGAUCAGAAUCAGAGUGAGGUCCCCACCUAAUUAACGUCAGAUCCAAGUCCUCACAGAAAAAAAAGCUCACUUGACUUCUGCAGCCUUGCUUCUAACAAGACUUGGGCCAAGUAUUGGAGGAAGUUGAACUAAUUGUAUAAAGAAGGUGGCAAAGAAGUCAGGAGUUGGCUCACUUGAUGCAGAUAAAAGCUGCCCAGGAGCCAUCUGCAAGUACCAGUACUACAUAUAUGUAGCAGACUAAUUCUACAGUGCUCAGUGGCACCUUCCUUGAUGCCCUUGACAGACAAGCUGCAGUGCAGGGAUGACUCCAUCUGAACCAAGGCCAGAACCAUGUCUCAUUUCUGCUCUUUUAAACAGUGACAAACUGCAUUUUGUGAAAGCACAAACACUGUGUAACUGCUAGCUCAGUUAUUUGAAGUAGAAAUGGAGUUUGAGCCCUUCCACAUGCAGUAUGUGCAAAGUACAUACAAGAUACUAAGUGCAGGGUGGAACAGUCUGCAAUGAACCUGAUCCCUCUGUAUAUGAGGGCUCACUACAAGAUUUCUCAAAUGCCUCUCCAGAACAGAUCUUGAAGGCAUAGGCUGCAGAGGAAGAAUGGCUGCCAAGAGGGUAUUAUGUUUAAUGGCAGAUAGGAUCUAUCUAUGAUCCAGAACAUUCCUCAGGAAUUCUCAAAAGCCCAUUAACGUAUUUUAUUCUUAACAUAUGAGUGCUACAGAAGGACUGGAAGCCAGAGACCCAUGAUUACCCCAUGUAAUACAGUGUUCUUGCAGGAGGCUGCAGUUGUGCUUCCUGCUGCUCCUCUGCUUUGAUCUGAAUAAGAUUAAAAGCUAAUGGUGGAGUUUUGAAAGGAAGGGCAGAAGAUAUCUAUGUGAGGAAUAGUCUUCCUUGAGAUUAUAGGGCUUCAUAUAGGAUUAUAUGGGAGGCACUUGGUACAUUUAGUUGGAAGAUGAAUAAGUCAAUGCUGGAUCUUUAAUAAUCUUCACCUGAAGGACCCCAGCUCCAUCUACACCCUGCUAGCAGCCCAUUUUCAGAACCUAGCCUUAAAAGUUCAGCAAGUUUUCUGGCUCUUCAGAAUGCCCAAGUACCUCCCCAGGCACGCACAAAAAGCCUCGCUUUCAGUGAUGUGGGUAGAAAAUGGUAUACGCAAUGCAUAGGGAGGCCUUUCUCAGCGUGGUUCAGCAUUACAAAGCCUGUCAGACCACAGGCUCCCGGGAUGCCCUCACAGCCCUGGAAUGCUAGCUGGAAGUGUUCCCCUGUAAUUUAGCUCAUUUGGAACAUUAAAGAUGCUCAUUUCUAGGGACAUAAGUGAAAUGCGCUGAUACUGAGCCCAUCCUUUGUUUUACACCUGCAGGCCUCUAGUAGCCAGCAUAGAGGCUAGUGGGAAGGAGAGGACAUCAGUUUUAAUUUAGUUGUUUAUGACAGAAAAUGGUGAGAAAAGUGGGAAAAGAUCAUAUUCUACAGACUAAUGCACUUAUUUACACUUAACUGCCUAACCCCAGUCAGAACCUUAAAUUCUA
RNAcentral lists this long non-coding RNA (6700 nucleotides) under Gallus gallus (chicken). The record is from RNAcentral. Lineage: Eukaryota; Metazoa; Chordata; Aves; Galliformes; Phasianidae.